Long non-coding RNA from Oncorhynchus nerka (sockeye salmon), 372 nucleotides. RefSeq lists it as uncharacterized. Lineage: Eukaryota; Metazoa; Chordata; Actinopteri; Salmoniformes; Salmonidae. The transcript has 2 exons. The record is from RefSeq and is a predicted model, not a curated record.
CGUAAAGCGACACAAUGUCUCCAAUAUGAAGAAAACUAGAUCUGUUGUCUGACAUUUUCGCUUAAUUCUGUCCAAAAGUUGGCUUUCCAGACAAAUAUUUUCCUGCCCUCGCGGAAGAGUUGAGCUCUUCUCCAACACCCUCUAUCCAUGAUGAGCCCGUCAUGUACUGAAGACAUCAACCCGUCCUGUCAUGUCCUGAAGCCAAGCCUCUGAACACAUCGAGUCUCGCAGCACUCGGACUGGUCAGACACCAAACGAUAUCCUGUACCUGGCAGCAGCUUCCAUGGUCAACAUGGACAGCCUGAUCCCCCAGCAUCUGUCCAUACAGUACCACCUGCUGGCUUGUGAAAAAUAAAGACCCAUUGUACCUUG